This 880-nucleotide ribosomal RNA is filed under the name uncultured bacterium. RNAcentral describes it as "bacterial SSU rRNA". It matches the Rfam family "Bacterial small subunit ribosomal RNA", at positions 569 to 1453 of the family's 1533-position model. The record is from RNAcentral.
GCGCAGGCGGUUUUGUAAGACAGAGGUGAAAUCCCCGGGCUCAACCUGGGAACUGCCUUUGUGACUGCAAGGCUGGAGUGCGGCGGAGGGGGAUGGAAUUCCGCGUGUAGCACUGAAAUGCGUAGAUAUGCAGAGGAACACCGAUGGCGAAAGCAAUCCCCUGGGCCUGCACUGACGCUCAUGCACGAAAGCGUGGGGAGCAAACAGGAUUACAUACCCUGGUAGUCCACGCCCUAAACGAUGUCAACUGGUUGUUGGGUCUUCACUGACUCACUAACGAAACUAACGCGUGAAGUUGACCGCCUGGGGAGUACGGCCGCGAGGUUGAAACUCAAAGGAAUUGACGGGGACCCGCACAAGCGGUGGAUGAUGUGGUUUAAUUCAAUGCAACGCCAAAAACCUUACCCAGCUUUGACAUGGCAGGAAGUUUCCAGAGAUGGAUUCGUGCCCGAAAGGAAACCUGCACACAGGUGCUGCAUGGCUGUCGUCACCUCGUGACGUGAGAUGUUGGGUUAAGUCCCGCAACGAGCCCAACCCUUGCCAUUAGUUGCUACGAAAGGGCACUCUAAUGGGACUGCCGGUGACAAACCGGAGGAAGGUGGGGAUGACGUCAAGUCCUCAUGGCCCUUAUACGUGGGGCUACACACGUCAUACAAUGGCUGGUACAGAGGGUUGCCAACCCGCGAGGGGGAGCUAAUCACAUAAAGCCAGUCGUACUCCGGAUCGCAGUCUGCAACUCGACUGCGUGAAGUCGGAAUCGCUAGUAAUCGCGCAUCACAAUGUCGCGGUGAAUACGUUCCCGGGUCUCGUACACACCGCCUGUCACACCAUGGUAGCGGGUUCUGCCAGAAGUAUGUAGGCUAACCGUAAGAGAGCGCGC